GGAAAUUGGUUGCACCAACUUAUGUUAGGAUUUACUUUUAAAGAAGGUCCUUAGGAAAGGCAGCGUUUUAACCUAAGGGAGUGCAUUUUCAAGAGUGGAUUUUCAGGCAGGGAGCGCAGCAGGCGUUUCCCGACAUGCCCGUGAGCAAGACUCGAUCACGGCCCAGAAACCCUGCUUUGCAGAGGUGACCACCCCGGCCCGCCCGGAAGAACCGGGCCCGAGCUGCCGCGCCGCCACGGUGACUCGGCCAUAAGACCCGCCAGACGGGUGUGUUCCUGCAAGACCUCUCUUUCCCUAGGGGAAAACAGAGACAUCUCAUCACAGAUAGCUCUAGGUUUGCCUUGGCCAUGAUGUCCAAGUGGUCUGCUUGGUUCCAUGCCUGCGUCUGAGCUGGCUCUGUGGGAGGUGCCAAGCUGCCUUCGACACUGUGCAUGGCACUUUAAAGCUCUCAAUAAAUAUUUUUCAAGUGAAGUCAAUGAAGCAAGAAAGAAUCUCAACUAGUUUUGAGGUAAUGGUUCAAGAUGACAUUCUUUCUCCCUAAGGCAAUAACUCUCAAAGCAGCGGUGGAGAAAAGCAACCACUUCUUGGCAGGGAGGGGAAUGAUUUUUUUUUUGCUGGGGGUCAGUCAUGGGAAAGGUGGCAAGGGGAGGAAGGUAAAUUUAAUUUGAAAAGUCAUGUCCAGUAUAAUUACUAUGUCAAAGACUGACAGUUUGGUCCUCAAUUUCUAACUAAGCACAUUGCUGCUGAGAAUAAGGACUAUAUUUUCCAAUUAUGUGUGGCCAUGUGAUUAAGUUUUGGUGAAUGGAAUAUAAGUGGAAUUGUGUGGCAGCUUCUAGAAACUUUUCUUAAGUCAGCUGGCAUAUGCCUUUUGCCCCUUUCUUCUGUAUGCUGACCUGCUUCUUGGAUCACAGGUGUGAUAGAUGGAGUGAGAACGGGAUUUCUCAACCUCCACACCGUUCCCAUUUUGGGCUUAGAUAAUUCCUUGUUGCCAGGGGUUGUAGGACAUUUAGCAGCACCCCUGGCCUCUACUUUUUUGAUGCCAUUGCACCUCGUCCCCAUUAUGACAAUAAAAAUGUCUCCAGACAUUGUCAACUGUCCUUUAGGGGGGAAAUUAUCCCUGAUGAAGAGCCACUGAUCCAGAACCAUCUUAGACUGGGAGGUCCUCUUGGGAAAGAGGGAAAAAGCCUGGGUCCUCAACUACUUGGUGGGGCACCAGCCACAGACAGCCUGCCUCCAGAUUUUCCAAAUAGGAGAAAGAAAUUACCCACUAUUACUUUGAGUCUAUGCUAGUUGCAGUCAUACUUAAUUCUAAUUGGUUAAAUUGUCUGUAUUUUGAAAUACAAAAUAAAGCUCAAUAGAAUUUAUUCGGCAGCCAUAACAAAUGAAAUCAUGUCCUUUGCAGCAAUAUGGAUGGAAUUGGAGGGCAGUAUCCUUAGUGAACUAACUCAGGAAAUCAAAUACCACGUGUUUUCACUCAUAAGUGGGAGAUAAACAAUGGGUAAACAUGAACACAAAGAUAGAAAUAAUAGACAGUGGGGACUCCUGAAGGGGGGAGGUUGGGAGGAGGGCGAGGGUUGAAAAAUUACCCAUUGAGUACAAUGUUCACUAUUUGGGUAAAGGGUACAGUAGAAGCCCAAUCCCCACAAAUACAAAAUAUACUCAUGUAACAAACAUGCACAUGUACCCCC
RNAcentral lists this long non-coding RNA (1688 nucleotides) under Homo sapiens (human). RNAcentral describes it as "HSALNT0250756". The record is from RNAcentral. Lineage: Eukaryota; Metazoa; Chordata; Mammalia; Primates; Hominidae.